This 23-nucleotide non-coding RNA is filed under the name Cricetulus griseus (Chinese hamster). Lineage: Eukaryota; Metazoa; Chordata; Mammalia; Rodentia; Cricetidae. The record is from RNAcentral.
AAAGUGGUUGGCUGCAGUUGUGU